GUCUCCCAGGUUGGAGACUCCAGGCUUUGGGAAGGUCGGGAUUCAUCCACCAAUUAAUCCCUAGAAAGGUGUGGAGGAGGGUCUGGAGGCUGGGGUGGGCCCGGGGACAGCCGGUCAGCAAGCUGGUCCCAGGGGCAGCUCCCAGGAUGAGGAUGGAGGGCUGCCCUGGUCUGAGGGGAGCACGGAGCAGCUCUCCCCCCGGAGCCCGGGACAGAGGCCUCACUCUUCCCGCAGCCACAGGGAACUUCCAGGGAACUGGACUUCGAGCCCAGAGAGAACGCCUCCAAAAUUCCUUCGGCUGUUUCUCCCCCGUCAACCGAGCGUCUAUUUAUAGACAUGGGAAUAUGCGUGGAGAAGGGACUGGAAGGAAAUACACAACAUGGAUAACACUGUCGGGAACAUCUUCAGAGGGAAAGUCUUUCUGUUCUUGAGAUUCCUGUCUUCAGUCAAAUUCUCCAACUUUCAGAUGUGAGCUGACGGCAUGAAAGGCUGCCACACACGAGGAAACAGUGAACUUGAACCCAAGUAUAGAGGCUCCUCGCAGGAAGGCAGGCGGUGAGGGGGCACCCCGCAUGGGUGAGGGGACACUCCGCAUGGGUGAUGGGGCACCCCGCAUGGGUGAGGGGGCACCCCGCAUGCUGGCGCUCGUGCUGUGCAUGGGGCGGGCUGCAGCUGCCUGGUGAGCGAGCGGUGGGGGGGAAGGGGGUCACCGAGCUCAGAGCUCCUCAGACUCCAGCACCAGAACAGACGGUUUCUGGGGCUGCUCCCUGCACCGCAGACCUGGGAACCCCAAGCCAUGGAGCUGCGUCCGCCAGCUUCCUGCCCAGCACAGACACCCAGACAGCGGCCCCGGGCCCGAAAGGCCGCCAUCACCCCCAGACUCGGGCAGUCAGCCCGCCCCCCUCCCCUCCACUCUCUCCGACCACUCCCCACCCCAGCCCCCGCCCCCCAGUCUCAGCUGCCUCUCCCACAGCUCCUGGGACCAGCUAGAACCUCAGCCAAAGGGGCCCCUUCCCUGGAGCCAUCUCCACAGACCAGGUCGCGUGGGGAGGGGGGCUCCCCCGGGAGCUGCGGAGACCACGACUGGGCCCGACCAGGGCGGCCUGGGCACCAGGAGCCACCCCCGCCGUCGGGCCAGGAGCCCCGAUGGCUGUGGCCUCUCUUGGCCCUGCUCCCCCCUGGUCUGGGCCAGGCGCUCCUCGGAGGGGUGCUGCCGGGCAGCCAGGGCUGGGGUCCCUGCCUGUCACACCGACCACCAAGCUGGUGUCGCCGGGAGAGAAAGACCCACGCGGUUCUCGCUGCUUUCCGCUCAGGACAGACGUGAAGCGGGGCCUGGGGCCCGGCCGGCCCCCGUCUGAGGCCCAGCAGGGGCCCUUCUCAGCCGUGUGACCGGCCUCGCUCCCGACCCUCCCGCAGCGUCAGCCUCCUCCUCUGUGUGAUGGCGAGGACCACAGGCCUCCCUCUCGGACCGAGAGGUAAAGGAGCGCAGGCUGUGGAGCCGGACACAGUGGGAUCGCGGACGGCCUCACGGGAGGAGCAGCGGCAGACAGGAAAGCUGAGCUCCUCCGACUGCAGGGCGCAAGGACCACGCAACAGAGAGGCGCCCCUUCCUCUUCUCUCUGGGGGACAUCGGUCUUGGUGCCCAAGCUGGAAGUCUGGACCUCCCUCCUCUUGGAAAUAUCCUGGAGCAGAAGCAAUAAGCUCGCCCACGAUGCCAUUUGCUCCUACUGUCCCGGCUGUGCCACGUGACCUGUGUUGGCCAAUGACAUUGAGCAGAAGUGACACAUGUCAUUGCCAAGGUGAGGCAGUAAGAAGCCCACACUCCAGUCUCUCUUGGGCCGCUAUGACGAUGGAGGGUUCCGGAUGGUGCAGCUGGGAGGCGGGGCUUCUGUCUGCCUGGGUCCCUAGGUGAGUCUGUGGAGCAGAACUGCCUGCUGACUGGCUGGUCACACAGUGUGAGCAAGAAACAAACUUUGGUUGUGUUCAGCCAGCAAGACCCAGGGCUGAUUGUUACUGCAGCAGCACCUGGCCUGCCCUGACUGCUUCAAGCUCCUGGCUCACUGGUCUACUUCAUGUUGUUCGUGGGGAGAUUAGCGUGCAGGAGGCAGCAAACAACACCCCACCCCUCUGGCCAACAGCCUUCAUCAAAGGAAUGCUUAGGAGCUAAUAUUCAGGGGCCCCAUGGUUCCCAUCUCACCAAAGCUUUAACGAACUUCUCUGAGGCUUGGGCCUGGGUCUGUGCCUUCCUUUGAAUUUCUCUACAGCGCUUGGUUGAACUCGGCCAUAAAGAUGGCCCUCUCUCUUAUCCCAAGGCAUGGAGAGGGCGCGAAGCCAGUGAGGUAGGGUGUGGGGCGCAGUUACAGUGUUUUGGCCAAGUUCAAGCCUCGGACUAAUGAAAGGACAGGGUCCUCUCAUUGCCACGUCCAAGUCCCAGCUGGAGGGCAGGGCCCUCCCGGCACAAUCAUAGCCAACGGCU
Molecule: long non-coding RNA, 2476 nt
Organism: Myotis myotis
Lineage: Eukaryota; Metazoa; Chordata; Mammalia; Chiroptera; Vespertilionidae
Exons: 4
Source: RefSeq, a predicted model, not a curated record